This 91-nucleotide ribosomal RNA is filed under the name Mucilaginibacter gotjawali. Lineage: Bacteria; Pseudomonadati; Bacteroidota; Sphingobacteriia; Sphingobacteriales; Sphingobacteriaceae. The record is from RNAcentral. RNAcentral also lists the same sequence under 1 other name.
GUCCACCUCUUCCCAUUCCGAACAGAGAAGUUAAGCCCGCCAGAGCCGAUGGUACUGCAGUAAAAUGUGGGAGAGUAGGUCGGUGCCAAAU